AAAUUGAAGAGUUUGAUCAUGGCUCAGAUUGAACGCUGGCGGCAGGCCUAACACAUGCAAGUCGAACGGUAACAGGAAACAGCUUGCUGUUUCGCUGACGAGUGGCGGACGGGUGAGUAAUGUCUGGGAAACUGCCUGAUGGAGGGGGAUAACUACUGGAAACGGUAGCUAAUACCGCAUAACGUCGCAAGACCAAAGAGGGGGACCUUCUGGCCUCUUGCCAUCGGAUGUGCCCAGAUGGGAUUAGCUAGUAGGUGGGGUAACGGCUCACCUAGGCGACGAUCCCUAGCUGGUCUGAGAGGAUGACCAGCCACACUGGAACUGAGACACGGUCCAGACUCCUACGGGAGGCAGCAGUGGGGAAUAUUGCACAAUGGGCGCAAGCCUGAUGCAGCCAUGCCGCGUGUAUGAAGAAGGCCUUCGGGUUGUAAAGUACUUUCAGCGGGGAGGAAGGGAGUAAAGUUAAUACCUUUACUCAUUGACGUUACCCGCAGAAGAAGCACCGGCUAACUCCGUGCCAGCAGCCGCGGUAAUACGGAGGGUGCAAGCGUUAAUCGGAAUUACUGGGCGUAAAGCGCACGCAGGCGGUUUGUUAAGUCAGAUGUGAAAUCCCCGGGCUCAACCUGGGAACUGCAUCUGAUACUGGCAAGCUUGAGUCUCGUAGAGGGGGGUAGAAUUCCAGGUGUAGCGGUGAAAUGCGUAGAGAUCUGGAGGAAUACCGGUGGCGAAGGCGGCCCCCUGGACGAAGACUGACGCUCAGGUGCGAAAGCGUGGGGAGCAAACAGGAUUAGAUACCCUGGUAGUCCACGCCGUAAACGAUGUCGACUUGGAGGUUGUGCCCUUGAGGCGUGGCUUCCGGAGCUAACGCGUUAAGUCGACCGCCUGGGGAGUACGGCCGCAAGGUUAAAACUCAAAUGAAUUGACGGGGGCCCGCACAAGCGGUGGAGCAUGUGGUUUAAUUCGAUGCAACGCGAAGAACCUUACCUGGUCUUGACAUCCACGGAAGUUUUCAGAGAUGAGAAUGUGCCUUCGGGAACCGUGAGACAGGUGCUGCAUGGCUGUCGUCAGCUCGUGUUGUGAAAUGUUGGGUUAAGUCCCGCAACGAGCGCAACCCUUAUCCUUUGUUGCCAGCGGUCCGGCCGGGAACUCAAAGGAGACUGCCAGUGAUAAACUGGAGGAAGGUGGGGAUGACGUCAAGUCAUCAUGGCCCUUACGACCAGGGCUACACACGUGCUACAAUGGCGCAUACAAAGAGAAGCGACCUCGCGAGAGCAAGCGGACCUCAUAAAGUGCGUCGUAGUCCGGAUUGGAGUCUGCAACUCGACUCCAUGAAGUCGGAAUCGCUAGUAAUCGUGGAUCAGAAUGCCACGGUGAAUACGUUCCCGGGCCUUGUACACACCGCCCGUCACACCAUGGGAGUGGGUUGCAAAAGAAGUAGGUAGCUUAACCUUCGGGAGGGCGCUUACCACUUUGUGAUUCAUGACUGGGGUGAAGUCGUAACAAGGUAACCGUAGGGGAACCUGCGGUUGGAUCACCUCCUUACCUUAAAGAAGC
This 1554-nucleotide ribosomal RNA is filed under the name Escherichia coli. Its description in RNAcentral is "bacterial SSU rRNA". It matches the Rfam family "Bacterial small subunit ribosomal RNA". Lineage: Bacteria; Pseudomonadati; Pseudomonadota; Gammaproteobacteria; Enterobacterales; Enterobacteriaceae. The record is from RNAcentral.